UGGGGAAUAUUGCACAAUGGGCGCAAGCCUGAUGCAGCAACGCCGCGUGCGGGAUGACGGCCUUCGGGUUGUAAACCGCUUUCAGCAGGGACGAAGGAGUUUUUUGACGGUACCUGCAGAAGAAGCACCGGCUAACUACGUGCCAGCAGCCGCGGUGAUACGUAGGGUGCGAGCGUUGUCCGGAAUUAUUGGGCGUAAAGAGCUUGUAGGCGGUUUGUUGCGUCGGAAGUGAAAACUCAGGGCUUAACUCUGAGCUUGCUUUCGAUACGGGCAGACUAGAGGAAGGUAGGGGAGAAUGGAAUUCCUGGUGGAGCGGUGGAAUGCGCAGAUAUCAGGAGGAACACCGGUGGCGAAGGCGGUUCUCUGGACCUUUCCUGACGCUGAGAAGCGAAAGCGUGGGGAGCAAACAGG
Molecule: ribosomal RNA, 411 nt
Filed under: uncultured Propionicicella sp.
Lineage: Bacteria; Bacillati; Actinomycetota; Actinomycetes; Propionibacteriales; Nocardioidaceae
Description: bacterial SSU rRNA
Rfam family: Bacterial small subunit ribosomal RNA
Source: RNAcentral